This 352-nucleotide unclassified non-coding RNA is filed under the name soil metagenome. RNAcentral's name for it is "partial contains 5.8S ribosomal RNA, internal transcribed spacer 2, and large subunit ribosomal RNA". The stretch from base 1 to 120 matches the Rfam family "5.8S ribosomal RNA", at positions 35 to 154 of the family's 154-position model. The record is from RNAcentral.
GAUGAAGAACGUAGCGAAAUGCGAUAAGUAAUGUGAAUUGCAGAAUUCAGUGAAUCAUCGAAUCUUUGAACGCACAUUGCGCCCGCCAGUAUUCUGGCGGGCAUGCCUGUCUGAGCGUCAUUUCAACCCUCAUGCCCCCGGGCCUGGCGUUGGGGAUCGGCGGAGCCCCCCGUGGGCACACGCCGUCCCCCAAAUGCAGUGGCGGUCCCGCCGCAGCUUCCAUCGCGUAGUAGCUAACACCUCGCGACUGGAGAGCGGCGCGGCCACGCCGUAAAACACCCAACUCUUCUGAAGUUGACCUCGAAUCAGGUAGGAAUACCCGCUGAACUUAAGCAUAUCAAUAAGCGGAGGA